RNAcentral lists this ribosomal RNA (147 nucleotides) under Staphylococcus epidermidis. RNAcentral's name for it is "partial 23S ribosomal RNA". It matches the Rfam family "Bacterial large subunit ribosomal RNA", at positions 2712 to 2925 of the family's 2925-position model. The record is from RNAcentral. Lineage: Bacteria; Bacillati; Bacillota; Bacilli; Caryophanales; Staphylococcaceae.
GUGUACCAGUUGUCGUGCCAACGGCAUAGCUGGGUAGCUAUGUAUGGACGGGAUAAGUGCUGAAAGCAUCUAAGCAUGAAGCCCCCCUCAAGAUGAGAUUUCCCAACUUCGGUUAUAAGAUGAAAAUGUAUUACUAAUUUCAUCCUU